CCUAACUCUAGAGGUUUUGCAGGAGUGGCUUCUGUGUCACACUUUCAUCAGUAAGUGGCAGAGAGGUGAGAGGCUAUGUCUUUGCUUAGUGUUCUGACCUAAACGUCAACCAACAGACUGGGAAAGAAUCUUCACC
Molecule: small nucleolar RNA, 136 nt
Organism: Apodemus sylvaticus (European woodmouse)
Lineage: Eukaryota; Metazoa; Chordata; Mammalia; Rodentia; Muridae
Product: small nucleolar RNA SNORA17
Exons: 1
Source: RefSeq, a predicted model, not a curated record